AGAUUGAACGCUGGCGGCAGGCCUAACACAUGCAAGUCGAGCGGUAGAGAGGUGCUUGCAUCUCUUGAGAGCGGCGGACGGGUGAGUAAUGCCUAGGAAUCUGCCUAGUGGUGGGGGAUAACGUUCGGAAACGGACGCUAAUACCGCAUACGUCCUACGGGAGAAAGCGGGGGACCUUCGGGCCUCGCGCCAUUAGAUGAGCCUAGGUCGGAUUAGCUAGUUGGUGAGGUAAUGGCUCACCAAGGCGACGAUCCGUAACUGGUCUGAGAGGAUGAUCAGUCACACUGGAACUGAGACACGGUCCAGACUCCUACGGGAGGCAGCAGUGGGGAAUAUUGGACAAUGGGCGAAAGCCUGAUCCAGCCAUGCCGCGUGUGUGAAGAAGGUCUUCGGAUUGUAAAGCACUUUAAGUGGAGAAGGUUGUAACCUAAUACGUUGCAACUUUGACGUUACGACAGAAUAAGCACCGGCUAACUCGUGCCAGCAGCCGUA
Molecule: ribosomal RNA, 492 nt
Filed under: uncultured soil bacterium
Lineage: Bacteria
Description: bacterial SSU rRNA
Rfam family: Bacterial small subunit ribosomal RNA
Source: RNAcentral